This 491-nucleotide ribosomal RNA is filed under the name uncultured bacterium. Its description in RNAcentral is "partial 16S ribosomal RNA". It matches the Rfam family "Bacterial small subunit ribosomal RNA", at positions 29 to 506 of the family's 1533-position model. The record is from RNAcentral.
AGUGAACGCUGGCGGUAGGCCUAACACAUGCAAGUCGAACGGCAGCACAGUAAGAGCUUGCUCUUACGGGUGGCGAGUGGCGGACGGGUGGGGUAUACAUCGGAAUCUACUUUUUCGUGGGGGAUAACGUAGGGAAACUUACGCUAAUACCGCAUACGACCUACGGGUGAAAGCAGGGGAUCUUCGGACCUUGCGCGGUUGAAUGAGCCGAUGUCGGAUUAGCUAGUUGGCGGGGUAAAGGCCCACCAAGGCGACGAUCCGUAGCUGGUCUGAGAGGAUGAUCAGCCACACUGGAACUGAGACACGGUCCAGACUCCUACGGGAGGCAGCAGUGGGGAAUAUUGGACAAUGGGCGCAAGCCUGAUCCAGCCAUACCGCGUGGGUGAAGAAGGCCUUCGGGUUGUAAAGCCCUUUUGUUGGGAAAGAAAAGCAGCAGGUUAAUACCCCGCUGUUCUGACGGUACCCAAAGAAUAAGCACCGGCUAACUUCGU